Molecule: unclassified non-coding RNA, 1608 nt
Filed under: Dermacentor andersoni
Lineage: Eukaryota; Metazoa; Arthropoda; Arachnida; Ixodida; Ixodidae
Description: ras-related protein Rab-31-like
Source: RNAcentral
CGGUUCUCAGAUGGCGCAUCGAUCGGUAGAUUUGUCGGGUGGGUGGGGAGGUGUUCAGAGCUUUUCGAAUUGAUAAUGAUAAAUCUUAGUCCCGGACAAAGGAGUCACUGUCAACGAUGAAUACUACUACUGAAGUCAAAGUCUGCCUCCUUGGAGACUCCGGUGUUGGGAAAUCUAGCAUCCUGCAGCGGUUUGUGUACAAUACGUUUAAUUCCAGCGCGGAGAGCACUAUAGGGGCAUCAUUUAUGAUGAAAAACCUGGUGUUGCAUGACCGUACAUUCAAAUUUAAUAUUUGGGACACUGCUGGCCAAGAAAGGUAUCGAGCUUUGGCUCCAAUGUACUACCGAGGUGCUGGGGCUGCUGUCAUUGUUUAUGACAUCACAUCUAUGGAGAGUUUCAAUGCAGUGCAGAGUUGGGUGCGAGAGUUACAGCUUCAUGGGGACCCAAACAUUGCCCUUGGUAUAGCAGGCAACAAGUGCGACUUGGAGGAUCAUCGAGAAGUGAGUUUAGCAACUGGAGAGUCAUAUGCCCACCAGCAUGGCGCAGUUUUUGUUGAGACUAGUGCUCUUAAGGCCACUAAUAUCCAGGAACUUUUCAUGGGAAUUGCCAUGAAGGUGCCCGUAACCCAAGGAGUACGGCAACCAGAACUGAAGCUUAGCCUCAAAAAGAAUGUGAGCAAGAAGUGCUGCUGAAGUUGAGGAUUGAAGCCACGCAUCUUGGUGCAGAGACAUAAGGAACAAAUGGGCCUUGGUUGCCGAAUGGCCCAUUGCCUUGCUCCUUGUGCUUGAAGCUUGCCACAAGCCUCGUGCAUUCUGAGUCACGAGGCUGAACAUGUCCACGCUGUUGGAAGUUUAACGCACAUUUUGGCCAUUGUUCUUGGUGAUGUUCCAUUUUUGUGCUGUGAUGUGCUUUUUAUUUAGUGCUGCAACUGUACAUCUUUCGUCUUUCACCUGAACCUUUUGUAAAAUAUGAUACUUGUAGUAUCAAAAACAGCUAACACUUUGUUUACACGACCUUUCUGUUACUCAGAUCUGGAAAGGUGCUGUAUCUGGUUUCGCACAGCCUUGUAAAGGAUAUGCACAAGGGGCCAUAUGUCAUAAGCACUGCCGUGAGAAAUUAUUCACUUUGCUGUAAUUAGCACCAGUCAUAGGUCUGUUUUUCUUAGACAUGGAGGGCACACUGUAUACUAUCUUUGGGGACACCCCAGAGAAAUAAAAUACUUUAGAAUGGAAACACCUGGAGGUCUUGCUUCUGGGUAGGCUACUUUCUCAAAAGUUAAAUAUUUUGAAAUUAUUUUACGCCUGUGGUAAGCAGUGCUUUCCCAUGUCUGGAAUUCAGUCACUGCAGUGAACUGCCAACUUACAUGUUGGCUGUAUACUGGUGUACAGAACUUCAUUUUUUAGACGUAUAUUUGAUAUGUGUGAAAAGCAAAGUAAAUAUCAGUGAACACUGUUUCACUGUGUUGCAGUAGCAUACUGCAGUUUGCUCACACCAUUCUAUGGUUUUGUUUUAGCUUAGACAAUACAUUAGCUUUAUUUUUAUUUAUAAAUGUGUUUAAUGCCUGUAUUUAAUGAAAAUAUUUUUAUAUAGUAAAUCACUUUACUUGUA